RNAcentral lists this non-coding RNA (241 nucleotides) under Clostridiales bacterium. Its description in RNAcentral is "T-box". It matches the Rfam family "T-box leader". From Rfam's summary of the family: Uncharged tRNA acts as the effector for transcription antitermination of genes in the T-box leader family. T-boxes are found upstream of many aminoacyl-tRNA synthetase genes and some amino acid biosynthetic genes usually in Gram-positive bacteria. The record is from RNAcentral. Lineage: Bacteria; Bacillati; Bacillota; Clostridia; Eubacteriales.
AUAAAGGCAUGGAACAGGAUAUGACCUGCUCUUUUGAGCACACAGAGAACCGUUAUUUGGUGAAAAACGGUAGCAGAAAAAGAGAAUGGCCCUCACCUGCGAGCUGUUUCGGUGAAUUGGAAAGUAACCGAAGCCGGAAUACCCACCGUUAAAAGGGAACCCCUUAGCGGGAAAAGCGGUUGUUUAGAAAACGACAAACAGAGUGGUACCGCGGAGAAAAUUCAAAACCUUCGCCUCUGAU